UCGUGCUCAUCUUAUAGUUGAUGGCUGGAUCGAACGCAGGUGUAGUGAUGUCUUCUUGGUAUGGCGGAUAUCAAACCGCAACGCCGCUGCCUUCCUACACAACUUACGUAACGACGAAUUCCUGCACCGAGGUUUUAAGUACUACGCCACUAAAGCACCGUAGUUUUAUACCACAACUUAUGCUGUCCCGAGCCACUACACUGACACCCCGAAGUAUUACUCUGCCCCGAGUUACUACACCACCAAGGCGACCGAGUACUACAUGACAAGGCAUGCUGCCCCAUCCUACUACACCGAGGCUCCCAACAGCUACACCGAGGCUCCUGCUGAUAACUUCACCAAAACGGUCGAAUACUACACCGAAGCGGCAAAGUACUUCCUUGCCCCGAGCUACUCAACCAGAACUGAGGCGGCCAAUUAUUAUGCAGUCUCGAUUUAAAACCCAGAAGCUGCUCUUUCGUACUGCGUUGAACAGAAAUACUACACUGAUGCUCCAAUCUACUACACCACGACCUACGCAUCGCCUAGCUACAACACCGCAGACGCCAAGUACUACAUACCCGCAAGGCCUUAAGAGGUGGGUCAGGGUGAGAAAAAGUCGUAUAAAAGGAGGGAAAAGGUGAUAAAAAUCAGUCGAGUGAGCGUCUCCAUCACGGCAACAACUGCUGUGCACUAUUUGUCAUUAAACCGCAAUCACGAUUGCUUAAAAGAAGAUAAAAUGCGAAAUAAUUAGUCGAGUGAUUAUCUCCGACUUGACGACAGCUGCCGUGCACUAUUUGUCACCAACUGCAUUCUUCAUUGUAUGAAAUGUGUUUAGUAAACUGUGGCGUCGUGCUGCUGUUGAUUGUUGUCCUGAAAUACUACACCACCGAGGCUUCAGAAUACUACACUGCAACUUAUGCUGCCCAGAGCUGCUUAACCAAAGAUUCUUAACUCAUCCCCGGCCACGUCAACCUGCAGAAGGAAGAGGCUGAUAGCACUUGGCUUGUAUUUCACUUUUGAAGGUCACGGAAAUCAUUACGUAAAACUGUCAAUGCGGUGGUGUAGAGGUUGGGAGAGAACGGGAAGUGUUUGCUUUGCUUUAUUAUCAAGCAAGUAUAAUAGCCGCAGAGCUUAAGAGAGUGGUCAGGGUGAGAAAAAGUCGUAUAAAUGGCAAGAGAAAAAAACCACGGAACUCAGUCGAGUGAGCAUCUCCGACACGGCAAUAACUGCAGCGCAAUGUGUCACCAACUACCUUCUUCAUCGCAUU
Daphnia pulex (common water flea) is the source of this 1249-nucleotide long non-coding RNA. RefSeq lists it as uncharacterized. The transcript has 5 exons. Lineage: Eukaryota; Metazoa; Arthropoda; Branchiopoda; Diplostraca; Daphniidae. The record is from RefSeq and is a predicted model, not a curated record.